This 3847-nucleotide long non-coding RNA is filed under the name Homo sapiens (human). Its description in RNAcentral is "HSALNT0366996". The record is from RNAcentral. Lineage: Eukaryota; Metazoa; Chordata; Mammalia; Primates; Hominidae.
AAAGGAAGUACUUAGGACCCAAAGGUUUAACCAGGCUGGUGACACUGAAAUUUACCUAUGCCCUGUGGUUCUGAAAAGUAGCUUUCCAGAAUUCCUCACCCUUUUUGUGUUCUGGGAAAGGGUUUACUGCAAAGAAUCCCCUUCCCAGGUGACACAUGAGACUCAAAAUUCACUCUUUCUCCUAACUCACAUAAGACUCACAAAUGUUUCUGUAUAACAAAGCCAGACCCUGAAAAACUGUCUUUGUUUCAUAAAUAAUUAGCUGAACUGUUUAUCCUCCCAAAACUAGCUUGACACAGAGAUAAACAUUUCUUGUUCAUCUUGUCAGAGGCAUUCGAACCAGAGCAACUUGAAUACUGGCUGGAUAAAAUAAGGCUGAGACCUACUGAAGCAGGACAUUUCACUGACCCCUUUGUGGAACUCGCAACAGGGGUGCCCCGUUUACUCAGCCCACAGCUCUCAACUCCUCAUAGGAGGGAGUGAGCAAGCCAACAAGGCGGGAACUGGAAUACACGAGUGCUAGAAUCAGCUGGCUACUUCAUAGCUGGCAAGAGCAAACUCCACUCACUCAGACCCGCUGCUUUCCACCCCUCGUCGGACAGGGCACACAGGUAACCAAAGAAUCUGACCCAUAGGGUUUCUAACUCACAAAAGGAGGGUCCAACUAUGUGGAAGCUGUCACCUUUGAUGGAAUUUAUCUGAUACCAUAUAACAUAGGUGUUUGACUUCAACCAGAGUUGAAGAUCCCCCAUCUGCAAUACUGCUGCACCCCCACCUCAAGCCCCAGCUGAUUGAACCCCAGGUGGAUUCCUGAUUCAGGCAAUCCACAGGCUGGGCUGAAGCAAUCAUGAUGUCUCUCUAAGGAAUAUUAAUUAAAAGCCACAGAGACCCCAGUCAGUUUUAAGGAGGUGUGCCGCCAGAAACCAGGGUCAGCACCAUACCAAACCAAAGUUAUGGAGGAGUAAAAACCAAAAGUCUUGCAGAAGCAGCAGAUUUGGAGACAAAAAAAGCAGAACCCACAUGCAGAAAGAAAAGAGAGGCACCACGUGACCCUUGAGACAAAGUGACAGACAUUCCAGUGCUGCCAGACAGAUUUCCAGUAUCUGUGAGGUCCUGCUGUGCACCAGAGAAGAGAGUUCUGGGAAAACCCCUGCUAUGGGUUGAACUGUAUUCCCCAAACAUUCAUAUGUUGGAGCCUUAACCUCCAGGACCUUAGAAUGGGACCUUACUUGGAAAUAGAGUCAUUGCAGAUGUAAUUAGUUAAGCUGAGUUCCUACUGGAGUAGGGUGGGCCCCUAAUCCAAUAUAUUGUUGUCCUUAUAAAAAGGGGAAGUCUGGAGAAUAGUUAUCCUUCCAAGAUAAACUAUUUGCCAAAUAUGUAACAGAGUAACCAGCCAUUUCCAUAUGGGAUUUCUAGUCAUUUCCCAGUUAAAAAUUAAGGAAUAGGUACACGCAGUAAGAGCACUCAGUGAAGAUGAGGGCAGAGAUCAAGAUGCCACAUCUACAAACCAAGGAACACCAAAGAUUGCCAGAAACUAUCAGAAGCUAGGGGAAAGGCAUGGAACAGUUACUUCUUCACAGCCGUCAGAAGGAACCAACCCUGUUGACACCCGGACCUCAGACGUGAAGCCUCCAGAACCGUGAGAUACAAAAUUCCUGUUGUUUAAGCCACUCAGUUUGUGGUACUUUGUUAUGGCAGCUCUGGAAAAUGAAUAUGACCCCUAUAACUGCAUUUCCAUGUGAGCUCAUUUAAGUGGGUGUCUGUUCCUUGAAGAAGAAAAAUGAUAUGAAUCAAAACAUCCCACCUAAACUGCCUUUGCUCUGAGCAGAGGGAACACCCUCUGGCAGAGCCAGGGUUCUUCUCAGAAAAUUAUUCCCAGUCUCCUCCAGGACUAAGAUAAAUGAAUGAGCAAAGUUUAAAAGUUCUCUUCUAAAGAACAUGGUCAAAAUAGUUUUAGCCUGUAAAAUUUGAAGGCAGAUAAAACCAGAAUUCAGCCUUGGCAGAAUAAACUCUCAAUAAAGUAACCUCAGAUCCUUAGCUCCGAACACCACUUUUUUUUUUCCUGUAUUCCUUCCAAGAUAAACUAUUAGCCAGAUAUGUAACAGAGUAACCAGUCAUUUUUAUAUGGGAUUGUUAUUCAUUGCCCAGUUGAAAAUUAAAGAAUCAGUACAAAAAAAAAAAAAACAAAACACUUUUGUUCUAGGAAAGAGAAUCAGAUAUCCUUUUUUAGCAAUAAUUAACUAGCAAGGUCGUGCUGUCACCACGGUUUUUAAAAUACCCUUUUGUCUUUCAUGGCAAGUGUAUGCAUCUAGACCAUCUGAAAGUGGCUCUAGAACAUGAAAAUAUAAAUGUAAAACAAGAAAGGGGCAGGAAAAGAAUGAGGAGCAGGCAAAACAUAACCACGUGUUGGCUAUUUCUAACUCCCUGGUCCAGGAGUACUCAUUAAUCACUCUAAUCCCACAGAAGUAUAAUGAUUCUGAAUAUCUACAUAUGCCACAAAUUAUCUAAUACUGUUCCUGAUUUACUAGGUGUGGAGUGGCCAUAUAUAAAACCUGACUGUUACUCACAUAAAAUAUUGGCCUGAAACUCUCAGACUUCGAAGCAAGUAGCAGAUUUGGAUGGAAUACACCACAAAUUAAUAAAGCCAUAAUCUAGAGAAGGUAAUAAAUUGACUUUUUAAAUAUGAGAUACUCUAAACUCUGGCUUCAGUGGGGAAGAGUUUUUUUUUUUUACUUCAAGUUAUGCUGAUUUAAUUACAAAAUAAGCUUUUCCAAGGCACUGGCCUUUGUAAUGAAGGUAAAUAUUACAUGUUUGCUAAAAAACAGGGUUUUAUAAAACUCCUCACCUCAUAUAAACAAUUGUAAGUCUUUUGUUUUUUCCAGAAAAAAAAAAACUUUCACUAAGUAUUAGUCACUCAUAUAUCUAUAAAUCUCAGAGGAAUUUCCCCAAGCACUCUGGCUUCCCAAGUAGGAGAUUGUUUCUCCUAGUUCAAGUCUCAUUUCACUGUUAGGCUGGCUGUUAUUUCAUGGUGACUUGCCAUGUUAAUAGUAUGUCUUCUAAUCCACGAAUGUGAUAUAGCUCUCCAACUUAUUUGAGUCCUCUUCAGUUUUACUCAACAGUGUUUUGUAGUUUUCUGUGUAUAGGUUUUGGAAAUCCAUAAUUAAAUUUAUCCUUGGGUAUUCUAUGGUUCUUUGUUAUUAUGAAUUGUAUUUUUUAUCUCAUUUCCCAAUUGUUUUGCUGGUAUACAGAAAUAUAAUUUAUUUACCUAUAUGGACCUGGAAAAUUACAGCUUUGUUAAUUAAAUUCAACUAGUUAUAUUAGUUGUUUUGCAGAUUCCUUAGGAUUUCUACAUUUUAAAAAUAAAGUCAUCUAAGAAUAAAUAAUUUUUAUUCUUUCCAACUUUGAAUGCUUAAUUUCCUUUUUGUAUUGUAUUGCCCUGGUUAAGCCUUUCAGUACAAUGUGGAAUAGAAGUAGUUAGCACCGAGAUCCUUUCCUUGUUCUUCAUCUUAGAUGAACAGCAUUCAGUCUUUUGCAAUUCAAUAGGAUGUUAGCGCGUAGGAUUUCUACGAGUAGCCCACUGAUCUUUUUAGAAUAAUGAGAUCCGGUCACUCCUUUGCCCAGUUCUCCAGUGGUUUCCCAAAUCAUUUAAAAUAAUUUCAUAAAUCCUUAAAGUGACCUACAUAAUCUGGUUUUCUAUAAUCUCUCUGAAUUCAGAUUCUCCCCUCCUCCCCAUCGCCAGUCACCACAUUGGGUGUUUUGCAUGGGGCACUACACACAGGCCCCAUCUCAGUACUUUGGCCCUUCUUGUUCCCGCUCCCUGAAGUGCUUCUUUUACCCUAGACAGCCA